GUAAAAGUGCGGCAAACGAACUCAUAAUCCUCGUGUCGCAGGUUCGAGUCCUGCUGGGCCCA
RNAcentral lists this transfer RNA (62 nucleotides) under Actinomycetota bacterium. RNAcentral describes it as "Actinobacteria bacterium tRNA-OTHER". The record is from RNAcentral. Lineage: Bacteria; Bacillati; Actinomycetota.